RNAcentral lists this ribosomal RNA (484 nucleotides) under uncultured bacterium. RNAcentral describes it as "partial 16S ribosomal RNA". It matches the Rfam family "Bacterial small subunit ribosomal RNA", at positions 29 to 507 of the family's 1533-position model. The record is from RNAcentral.
AUUGAACGCUGGCGGCAUGCUUUACACAUGCAAGUCGAACGGCAGCGCGGGCUUCGGCCUGGCGGCGAGUGGCGAACGGGUGAGUAAUACAUCGGAACGUGCCCAGUAGUGGGGGAUAGCUCGGCGAAAGCCGGAUUAAUACCGCAUACGACCUGAGGGUGAAAGCGGGGGAUCUUCGGACCUCGCGCUAUUGGAGCGGCCGAUGGCAGAUUAGCUAGUUGGUGGGGUAAAGGCCUACCAAGGCGACGAUCUGUAGCUGGUCUGAGAGGGCGACCAGCCACACUGGGACUGAGACACGGCCCAGACUCCUACGGGAGGCAGCAGUGGGGAAUUUUGGACAAUGGGCGAAAGCCUGAUCCAGCAAUGCCGCGUGUGUGAUGAAGGCCUUCGGGUUGUAAAGCACUUUUGGCGGGAACGAAAAGGACUGUGCCAAUACCACGGUUCGAUGACGGUACCCGCAGAAUAAGCACCGGCUAACUACGUG